GGAGUUUGGACCGUGUCUCAGUUCCAAUGUGGGGGACCUUCCUCUCAGAACCCCUACUGAUCGUUGGCUCGGUGGGCCGUUACCCCGCCGACUACCUAAUCAGACGCAUCCCCAUCCUAUAGCGGUGAACCUUUGUUCCAACUUAGAUGUCUGCAUUGGAAAACAUAGAGUAUUAAUCCGACUUUCGCCGGGCUAUCCUCUACUAUAGGGAAGGUUGGAUACGCGUUACUCACCCGUGCGCCGGUCGCCAUCAAUCAAAGCAAGCUUCGAUCAUGCUGCCCCUCGACUUGCAUGUGUUAAGCCUGUAGCUAGCGUUCAUC
This 320-nucleotide ribosomal RNA is filed under the name uncultured Prevotella sp. Its description in RNAcentral is "partial 16S ribosomal RNA". The record is from RNAcentral. Lineage: Bacteria; Pseudomonadati; Bacteroidota; Bacteroidia; Bacteroidales; Prevotellaceae.